UGUAUCUGAAGUCUGACGAGGAUGAGAACCUCCGGGGGCAAGAGGUUCGACUCGAGCGAAGCGAGAGAACGUUGCGCCAGCAACGGCCCGCAGGGCGAGCCACGCAGUGGCGAGUCAUCCUCUAUCACCGGCA
RNAcentral lists this small RNA (133 nucleotides) under Salmonella enterica. RNAcentral's name for it is "RtT RNA". It matches the Rfam family "RtT RNA". Rfam says of the family: This family represents a bacterial cis-regulatory element known as RtT RNA. Lineage: Bacteria; Pseudomonadati; Pseudomonadota; Gammaproteobacteria; Enterobacterales; Enterobacteriaceae. The record is from RNAcentral. RNAcentral also lists the same sequence under 1 other name.